This 4736-nucleotide long non-coding RNA is filed under the name Brassica napus (rape). Its description in RNAcentral is "long non-coding RNA (BNAP_LNC016977)". Lineage: Eukaryota; Viridiplantae; Streptophyta; Magnoliopsida; Brassicales; Brassicaceae. The record is from RNAcentral.
UGUCUGCGGAAAGAAGAUGAACAAUUGAAAUAUUAAAUAGGGUUAGAUUGCAAGUGAGAGUAGCAGAGUUUGAGAGAGUGACCUGGAAGAUGUGUUGGUGUUUGCCAAGCCUAGCAGCUGUUCGGAAUUGCGGAACUGGAACAGCUCUUGACUUGAGGUAUCAGGUUCACCGGUUCUGUUAUUUUGGCGAAGGCGGUUAAGUCACUGAAACAUAUUGACAAAGGAGAGUUGGACAAUUUGAAGUUAAGGUUUCUCCGCGUCAACCAUUCACCGCGUACAUCGAACCAGUCUUGAAAAGGUGUUCGAAGGUAUUCAAACGGUGGACGUCGAUGGUGGCAUGCAUAAGAGGCGCUUGAAAACGUUUACAACAAAUGUUUGAUUGUAGCUUAAAUUAUAAAACUCACAAAUCUUCAAGAGAAAGGAAGGCAAUUGAUUUUUUUGUUCGCUGGAGUUACCUUAGUGGAGGAGCAUGUCAGCUCACCGCCUCUCUUUACAUUCCUCAGCCGGUGCUGGCGCUUGCGUAAGCGGCUCUGCCUCCUAGAAACUGAGUAGAUGAACUUCGAUUGUGGUACUACAGCUCCAGGCAGCAAGGAGGAGAAAGGAGUUAAUCAAUAUGCUAUGUGUAAUUUUCUAGUGCUAAGAUGAUUGGGAGAAUGGAAUGAUGAAGUUUAUGGAUUCAAGGCUGACCUAUUUAUAGCAGCAGGAUGAUACUUCAGCUCUUUCCUAGCCAUGUCAAAUCGUUGUUUCACCUCCCUCUGCAAUUUACAGAGAAAGCAUUCUAAGAGAUGGUUUAAAGGACAGCUAGUGGAACAGAAACAUCUUUUCAAACUGUAAUUCAUUCAUUCAUUCAUCAAAACAAAAAUAAAAGAACAAAUUUAGUAGUUUUGAAAUUUUAGAUGCAACUUUUGUUAAUGCAAGAAACAAGAGCUUGAUAUGUAAUUAUGUAUUUUAAAUGAGUAGCAAAUGAUUUUGUCCAUAAUUAUAUGUAUAUUAUCUAAUUUUGAGCAAUGUGCAUCCUUAAUAUAAAUAUUUUGAAUAAAAUGAGAGAAUUAAACUAGAAAUAUAGGGUUAAGUAUACUUAUGUUUGGUUAUCUUCGAAUAUUUAUUCGAAGAUAUAUUACCAGUUCGAGUUUGGAUAUUACCCAUUUGGGUUCAGAUAUCCGAUCUCUCCGAAUUCAAUAACCAUUCGGGUAUUUUGCUAUUUUGGUUCGGAUUUUUGGAUCGGAUUCAGAUACUGGUUCAGGUAUCAGAUAAAAUGUCCAACCCUAAUAAAUCGUAUAAAUAUGAAGUCUCAUUAAUAGAUAUUCAUAUUAAAUAUAUAGAUAUAUUAAUAUUAUUUGAAAUAAAUUGUAAACUAUAUAAAAUAUAAAAAUAUGUUAAUUUUAAAAUUUGAAAAUGAAACAUUAUUGAGAUCUUAAUAUUUUAAUUUUGAAAAUUUUAUUGAAAAAAUCUCACAUUAAAAGUUUUGUAAUUAACUGUUUUACUUUUUGUUACAGCAAAUAUACAAAUAUUAAAAAAUCAUAUGAGUAGGAAAUGUCAAUAAUAUAUAUUUAUAUUAAAAUAUACUAUGUAUCUAUGUUAAUAUCACGAAAGUUUAAUAUCUACCAUAUAAAGUAAAUAAAAUGAUUGUUUUGAUUUAUUUACCAAAAACGUGAUCGUAAAUUAACAAAAUGUAUUGUUUUUGCUUUAUGUCCUUACUCUAAUGUAUAUACUUUUAUGCAUACAAAUUAUAUUUUUAAAUAGGUGGUUUCUAAUAUCUUAUUUGAUCCUAACAAUCCCAUAAACACACUUCUUCGAAUCGGAGUCAAUUUUAAUAUUGGAAGCACCAUAUAUAUUAUUUCAUUCAGAUUAAAUAAUGUAGUCUUGAUUUUUAUUCCUAAAAAGCUUUUAAUGAAAUAUUAUGACAAGAUUACAAGUACUUCCUUUUGAAUUUGUCCGAGAGAUUUGAUCAUUUGUCUAAUAUUUGUUUCUCCUUAAUACCCUAUCUAGCUAUUAUAAUUAUAAGAAUGAAAGAUUUGAACUAUUUAUUAUAAAUUUUCUGGUUUAUCAUUAAAUAAAUCAAAUUAUUUUUUGUUUAUACAUAGUUUACAUAUACUAGAAUGGUAAAAUAUUAUAUAUAUAUAUAUUAUAUGUAUGCUCUUAAGUAAUUAAACCUCAAAAGCAUAUGCUAAGUUUGAUAAAAAAAAAUCAUAGGCUAAUAAAAUAAACAAUUUUUUUUGUUAUUUUAGAAUUAGAUGAUUUUUAGACUGAACUGGUGAAUAUAUUACUAGACAGACAUUCAUAUUUCGAGUAUGCACUUAUAUUCUAUAACAGUUUGAUAUAUUAGACUAGGGUCGGCCUGCCCUACUGGUGGGAUAUACUUUACUUGUGAUCUAGGUUAUUAUUUUUUGUAUAAUUUGCUGGUUUUCGUUUUAAAUUUUUAUUUGCAAGAGAUGUUUUUGAUAAUGAUUUUUGACUAUUAGAAAGUUUUAGGUGAAGAGAUCUUAUAUGUGAUGAGAUAUAUUUUUCUUGUUUACAAUAGUUAGUUUCGGUUGUCCAAAAAAAUAACUUUAUGAUACUAAAUAUUAGUUAAAUUUUUCUACUUAAUUAAAUUAUUUGAUUUAUAAUGUGUGUUGAAUUUGAUGGUAGUAUAGAAAAUGUCUUUUAUCUGUAAUUCAGUUAAAACAUCAGAAUAUUGAUUUUUUUAUUAAAAAAAUGAAAGAUGAAUUCAUUAUAUUUUUUAAAUGAAAUUUUUUUAUGUUUGUAUAAAAGUUAUAUAUAUAAUAGUUAUGUUAUUAUUAUUUUAUCGAAUUAAGUUAUAUUUUACAUAUGUCCAAUUCAAAACCAGUAAAAUUUUUUAAUUAUUGUGUCUAUUCAUUUGUCGGGUAUUUAUUUAUAUACUUUCUUCCAUAUAUAUUAUAUAUUUUUCAUUAUUUUGUGUCGAUAUAAUGAAUCUCCACUUUAUCGGUUAAAUAUUUGUAUUACCGAACAUUAUCGACUAAAGAAAGAACUUCGUUGAUUGUACAAUUUGUUAAGAAAAUAUAUUUCAAACUGAAGCGGACAUAUAAUGGAGUUCAAACCAAAACCAAAUUGUUUCGUGUUAAGAGCAUUUCCAAAAGCAAUUUCAAAACUUCAAAUAUGAAACUUUACAUGCUCUUAAAACAAUUUCAAAUUUUCAAAUUUUGAAAUUUGUAAUGUGAAACUUCAUAUUUGAAGUUCUAAUGUACAAAACUUCAUAUUAUUUAGUUUGGAAAAGCUAUGAAUGAGAAGGUUGGAAAAUCUAAAUAAGCUUUACAGUUGGUGUAGAUUUUAUUAUGUCGUGUAAAUUAGUAAUUCCAUCCGAAUUGCAGCAUUUCUUUGCCAUGUAAGGUAUGUAAUGUCAGUUAGUGUAUGAUAAUCUGAGCAACCUAGACCAGAGCAAAACUGUUAAGGGUAAUGUAUCCGGCGCGUAAUUGGCCACAAUUUUUGUUUGUUGUACUGUUAAUACUCAUGUAUAAAACGAAGACUGGGUGAUUCAUUGAUAAUUAGACAAAUGCGAUUAGGAAAUCAAAAUUUGAUUGCCCUUAUAGUUGUAAAAAACAGUAAUAACAAACAGGCUUGAUCAUUAUUCUAGUAGCUACCUUGUCGACAAAUAUUACGGAUAACAUAUAAGUUGUAAUAUUCGUCAAUGAGAUUUGCUUGUAGCACCAUUAUUUCCUCAUUGAUAUAUGGGUAAAUAUGAGGAAAUCCAAAUACAAUAGUCUUUAUAGUUUAAGGGUAACUAUCAACAGCAGAUGAAGUUUUACAAAAAACAAAAAAACUAAAAACUAUGCUUAAGCAAUAUUUUAGUAGCUGCUUCUGUGAGUCUGUGAUUAAGAAACUGCAUCCUCCUCCAACUAUGCAAUGUGUGCCUUCUUAUUUUCCUUGGAAGACGUAGAGAACAGAGAGUUUGUGGCUGACAGACCACCUUAGAUUGUUUCAAUAGCUGGAUCUUUCUCAUUGUCAUCACCAUGACAUUGAUCAUGGCUGGAAGGUGCUAACUCCGGGCACAUCAUCUCCAGGGCCGCCAUUUACUUAUUGUGAUCACAUGAAAAAAUAUUCUCAUUUUAAUGCACGGCAAAAAAAAAUUACAAAAGAGAAAGUCAAUUGUGUGAAAUUGUAAAAGAGGAAGCAACUCCUACAAUCUUUUUUUCUUUCUCGUUACAACAAUAACUUUAAGGUCAACAUGUAAGUCUGACGAUUGUUUAUGAAAGGCAGCAGCUCAAGGAAAUAGAUACAUCAUUGCGAAUUUUAGACAAACUACGUGAUGUUAACAUGUUUUGGUAGUUCUACUUGAUUUAUGAUACCGUAGAGUUCUUUAUAAGCAAAGUUAAGAAAAACGUACAGAUUCUUUGCCUUGUAAGGAGUCAUCAACAGUAUCCCUAAUAGCGGUUAAUUCACCUAUAGUGUCUGCGGAAAGAAGAUGAACAAUUGAAAUAUUAAAUAGGGUUAGAUUGCAAGUGAGAGUAGCAGAGUUUGAGAGAGUGACCUGGAAGAUGUGUUGGUGUUUGCCAAGCCUAGCAGCUGUUCGGAAUUGCGGAACUGGAACAGCUCUUGACUUGAGGUAUCAGGUUCACCGGUUCUGUUAUUUUGGCGAAGGCGGUUAAGUCACUGAAACAUAUUGACAAAGGAGAGUUGGACAAUUUGAAGUUAAGGUUUCUCCGCGUCAACCGUUCACCGCGUACAUCGAACCAGUCUUGAAAAGGUGUUCGAAGGUAUUCAAACGGUGGACGUCGAUG